ACGGGGGAUGCAAGCGUUAUCCGGAUUUAUUGGGUUUAAAGGGUGCGUAGGCGGUUUGAUAAGUCAGCGGUGAAAUAUUUCAGCUUAACUGAAAGGGUGCCGUUGAUACUGUCAGGCUUGAAUAUGGUUGCUGUGGGUGGAAUGUGUGGUGUAGCGGUGAAAUGCUUAGAUAUCAGGCGGAAUACCGGUUGCGAAGGCGGCUUACUGGGCCAUUAUUGACGCUGAGGCACGAAAGUGUGGGGAUCAAACAG
RNAcentral lists this ribosomal RNA (251 nucleotides) under uncultured prokaryote. RNAcentral's name for it is "partial 16S rRNA". It matches the Rfam family "Bacterial small subunit ribosomal RNA", at positions 525 to 775 of the family's 1533-position model. The record is from RNAcentral.